GACGAACGCUGGCGGCGCGCCUAACACAUGCAAGUCGAACGGAGCUGAGAGGAGCUUGCUUUUUUCAGCUUAGUGGCGAACGGGUGAGUAACGCGUGAGUAACCUGCCCUGGAGUGGGGGACAACAGUUGGAAACGACUGCUAAUACCGCAUAAGCCCACGAUCCGGCAUCGGAUUGAGGGAAAAGGAUUUAUUCGCUUCAGGAUGGACUCGCGUCCAAUUAGCUAGUUGGUGAGGUAACGGCCCACCAAGGCGACGAUUGGUAGCCGGACUGAGAGGUUGAACGGCCACAUUGGGACUGAGACACGGCCCAGACUCCUACGGGAGGCAGCAGUGGGGGAUAUUGCACAAUGGGGGAAACCCUGAUGCAGCGACGCCGCGUGGAGGAAGAAGGUUUUCGGAUUGUAAACUCCUGUCGUUAGGGGCGAUAAUGACGGU
This 437-nucleotide ribosomal RNA is filed under the name uncultured bacterium. RNAcentral's name for it is "bacterial SSU rRNA". It matches the Rfam family "Bacterial small subunit ribosomal RNA", at positions 28 to 458 of the family's 1533-position model. The record is from RNAcentral.